GACGAACGCUGGCGGCGUGCUUAACACAUGCAAGUGGAGCGACGAACCAGGGCUUGCCCUGGGGCAGAGCCGCGAACGGGUGAGUAUCACGUGGGUAACGUACCCCGAUGACUGGGACAACCCGGGGAAACCCGGGCUAAUACCGGAUGUGCCCCCUCACAUCAGUGAGGUGUGUAAAGGAAGCUUCGGCCUCCGCAUCGGGAUCGGCCUGCGGCCCAUUAGCUUGUUGGUGAGGUAACGGCUCACCAAGGCUGCGAUGGGUAGCUGGUCUGAGAGGACGAUCAGCCACACUGGGACUGAGACACGGCCCAGACUCCUACGGGAGGCAG
RNAcentral lists this ribosomal RNA (329 nucleotides) under uncultured Actinomycetes bacterium. Its description in RNAcentral is "bacterial SSU rRNA". It matches the Rfam family "Bacterial small subunit ribosomal RNA", at positions 28 to 351 of the family's 1533-position model. The record is from RNAcentral. Lineage: Bacteria; Bacillati; Actinomycetota; Actinomycetes.